Molecule: ribosomal RNA, 425 nt
Filed under: uncultured bacterium
Lineage: Bacteria
Description: bacterial SSU rRNA
Rfam family: Bacterial small subunit ribosomal RNA
Source: RNAcentral
GACGAACGCUGGCGGCGUGCUUAACACAUGCAAGUCGAGCGGUAAGGCCCUUUCGGGGGUACGACGAGCGGCGAACGGGUGAGUAACACGUGGGUGACCUGCCCUCAGCUCUGGGAUAAGCCUGGGAAACCGGGUCUAAUACUGGAUAUGACUCCAUGACGCAUGUUGUGGGGUGGAAAGCCUUGUGCGGCUGAGGAUGGGCCCGCGGCCUAUCAGCUUGUUGGUGGGGUGAGGCCUACCAAGGCGACGACGGGUAGCCGGCCUGAGAGGGCGACCGGCCACACUGGGACUGAGACACGGCCCAGACUCCUACGGGAGGCAGCAGUGGGGAAUCUUGCGCAAUGGGCGAAAGCCUGACGCAGCGACGCCGCGUGAGGGAUGACGGCCUCGGUUGUAACGUACUUCUACGCUCCGACGAACGACGA